AGAAGCCAGACAGGGAAUUCUCAAGGGCAUCUCAAGUUCUCCUCAAAGACUACCACUGACAUGGAAGGAAUCUACAUUUUCAAAGAGUUUCGUCUGGCAUCCAGCUAUAUGGAGAGAAGCACCUAGAAGUAGACAGAUUGUGUACAUUUUAGUUUCACCAAAACUCCCAGAAUCCCUCUCCAUGAUUCUGACUGGCGGGACUUCCUGCAGGAUGGUCUACUUCUCCUGUUUCUACCUGCAGACAAGUAUUGCCAGGGAUCAAGGCUGGAACUCUGCUGCCAUGUGUGCUGCUUUGUCCCACACCUUCUCCAGUGUCCCUGUCACUCUA
RNAcentral lists this long non-coding RNA (328 nucleotides) under Vulpes vulpes (red fox). Its description in RNAcentral is "lncRNA (ENSVVUG00000015077.1)". The record is from RNAcentral. Lineage: Eukaryota; Metazoa; Chordata; Mammalia; Carnivora; Canidae.